GAAAAAAUAGCCUAGUGGACAUGGCAUCUGCCUGGUAAGCGGUACACUGUGGGUACGAUUCCCAUCCCUGGAUACU
This 76-nucleotide transfer RNA is filed under the name Cordylochernes scorpioides. Its description in RNAcentral is "tRNA-Thr". The stretch from base 8 to 65 matches the Rfam family "tRNA", at positions 8 to 63 of the family's 71-position model. Rfam says of the family: Transfer RNA (tRNA) molecules are approximately 80 nucleotides in length. The record is from RNAcentral. Lineage: Eukaryota; Metazoa; Arthropoda; Arachnida; Pseudoscorpiones; Chernetidae.